This 268-nucleotide ribosomal RNA is filed under the name uncultured bacterium. RNAcentral describes it as "partial small subunit ribosomal RNA". It matches the Rfam family "Bacterial small subunit ribosomal RNA", at positions 26 to 287 of the family's 1533-position model. The record is from RNAcentral.
AGGACGAACGCUGGCGGUGUGCUUAACACAUGCAAGUGGAGCGACGAACCAGAGCUUGCUCUGGGGCAGAGCCGCGAACGGGUGAGUAACACGUGGGUAACCUACCCCGAUGACUGGGACAACCCGAGGAAACUCGGGCUAAUACCGGAUAUGUCCGAUGAUCACGAGAUCGUCGAGCAAAGGAAGCUUCGGCCUCCGCAUUGGGACGGGCCCGCGGCCCAUUAGCUAGUUGGUGGGGUAAUGGCCUACCAAGGCUGCGAUGGGUAGC